RNAcentral lists this ribosomal RNA (460 nucleotides) under uncultured bacterium. Its description in RNAcentral is "partial 16S ribosomal RNA". It matches the Rfam family "Bacterial small subunit ribosomal RNA", at positions 338 to 795 of the family's 1533-position model. The record is from RNAcentral.
CCUACGGGAGGCAGCAGUGAGGAAUAUUGGUCAAUGGACGAGAGUCUGAACCAGUCAAGUAGCGUGAAGGAUGACUGCCCUAUGGGUUGUAAACUUCUUUUAUAAAGGAAUAAAACGAGGCACGUGUGCCCUUUUGCAUGUACUUUAUGAAUAAGGAUCGGCUAACUCCGUGCCAGCAGCCGCGGUAAUACGGAGGAUCCGAGCGUUAUCCGGAUUUAUUGGGUUUAAAGGGAGCGUAGAUGGGUUGUUAAGUCAGUUGUGAAAGUUUGCGGCUCAACCGUAAAAUUGCAAUUGAUACUGGCAGUCUUGAGUACAGUUGAGGUAAGCGGAAUUCGUGGUGUAGCGGUGAAAUGCUUAGAUAUCACGAAGAACCCCGAUUGCGAAGGCAGCUUACUAAACUGUGACUGACAUUGAUGCUCGAAAGUGUGGGUAUCAAACAGGAUUAGAUACCCCUGUAGUC